RNAcentral lists this ribosomal RNA (263 nucleotides) under uncultured bacterium. RNAcentral's name for it is "partial 16S ribosomal RNA". It matches the Rfam family "Bacterial small subunit ribosomal RNA", at positions 793 to 1055 of the family's 1533-position model. The record is from RNAcentral.
GUCCACGCCGUAAACGAUGAGUGCUAAGUGUUGGAGGGUUUCCGCCCUUCAGUGCUGCAGCAAACGCAUUAAGCACUCCGCCUGGGGAGUACGACCGCAAGGUUGAAACUCAAAGGAAUUGACGGGGGCCCGCACAAGCGGUGGAGCAUGUGGUUUAAUUCGAAGCAACGCGAAGAACCUUACCAGGUCUUGACAUCCUUUGACCACUCUAGAGAUAGAGCUUUCCCUUGGGGACAAAGUGACAGGUGGUGCAUGGUUGUCGU